GCCGGCCCCCGCCCCGCGCACGGCGUCAGCGUCUAGACGCAGGCCCUCCUGGUGAGAUCCCAUCACGUCCCCUGGCCUCCAGUGUCAUCUGCUCUGCAUGAUAUCUCCAGGGGGACCUCUCUGCUGGGCUCCAGGCCGCAUGGCUGUGGGUGACCAGCAUCAUGUCCCACCGGGUCCCCUGCAGUCCCAGUGCACCUGCCUGCUCAUCCAGGGACCUGUCCUCACUGCCUGCUGCCUGCACUGUGUGGAAGGACAGAGGCUAAACGACGAAGCCUCGAGCUCUGGUCUCAUGGAAAUGGCAGCCUGCCCACCACCCACGCUUGCCCAGCCUUUCUUCACGCAGGAAGAAUAUUUCUCAGCCCUCCGUUCUCAAGACAGAUGAGUGCUUUAGAAAGAGGACUCUGCAGCGGUGAGGAGGAUGGAAUGACAGGCAAAGCACGCAGGACCAGGAGAUGGCUUCGUUCCCUCAAUCACUCAUCCAAAGACGUUUAAUGAGCACCUAUUGUGUGUCAGGCAUUGUACCGGGCAAUGGGGAUAUCGUAGUCAGUAAUAAGUGAGGAGAGAUGAGUUCAUUUGUGAGAGGCUCUGACCAGUGGAAUCAGAGGAAGGGAGUUCCCCUGGGUGGGCCAGGUUCAAAGACAUUUUGGAAGUAGAAUCUGCAGAACAUGAUGAUCUUUUGGAAACAGGGCAGGGACGUGAAUGAGCACGUAAUGUCCCCAUGGGUUUGUCUUUCCGAAGGUUUAAAAUCCUCAAGAAUAAGGAACAUAGGCAUGUGUCGUAACGGUCUCCACAGUGGGGGAGUAUUAUGUUAGUGCACCUGCAUGUUAACUCUGCUCAUGAAGGGGCCACGUCUUCACCACCACAAAGCCUCAAGCAUGCAUAUCUGGUCCCUCCAACCCCCUCCCUAUUGAGGUGCAAUAAAGGCCCAUGUUUCUCCUAGUAUGGGAACAGAACUAA
Molecule: long non-coding RNA, 957 nt
Organism: Homo sapiens (human)
Lineage: Eukaryota; Metazoa; Chordata; Mammalia; Primates; Hominidae
Gene: RNF32-DT
Product: RNF32 divergent transcript
Source: Ensembl